UACGUAGGGUGCAAGCGUUAUCCGGAAUUAUUGGGCGUAAAGAGCUCGUAGGCGGUUUGUCGCGUCUGCUGUGAAAACCGGAGGCUCAACCUCCGGCCUGCAGUGGGUACGGGCAAACUAGAGUGCGGUAGGGGAGAUUGGAAUUCCUGGUGUAGCGGUGGAAUGCGCAGAUAUCAGGAGGAACACCGAUGGCGAAGGCAGAUCUCUGGGCCGUAACUGACGCUGAGGAGCGAAAGCGUGGGGAGCUAACAGG
Molecule: ribosomal RNA, 253 nt
Filed under: uncultured bacterium
Lineage: Bacteria
Description: partial 16S ribosomal RNA
Rfam family: Bacterial small subunit ribosomal RNA
Source: RNAcentral